GAUGAACGCUGGCGGCGUGCCUAAUACAUGCAAGUCGAGCGAACAGACGAGGAGCUUGCUCCUCUGACGUUAGCGGCGGACGGGUGAGUAACACGUGGAUAACCUACCUAUAAGACUGGGAUAACUUUGGGAAACCGGAGCUAAUACCGGAUAAUAUAUUGAACCGCAUGGUUCAAUAGUGAAAGACGGUUUUGCUGUCACUUAUAGAUGGAUCCGCGCCGCAUUAGCUAGUUGGUAAGGUAACGGCUUACCAAGGCGACGAUGCGUAGCCGACCUGAGAGGGUGAUCGGCCACACUGGAACUGAGACACGGUCCAGACUCCUACGGGAGGCAGAAGUAGGGAAUCUUCCGCAAUGGGCGAAAGCCUGACGGAGCAACGCCGCGUGAGUGAUGAAGGUCUUCGGAUCGUAAAACUCUGUUAUUAGGGAAGAACAAAUGUGUAAGUAACUAUGCACGUCUUGACGGUACCUAAUCAGAAAGCCACGGCUAACUACGUG
This 497-nucleotide ribosomal RNA is filed under the name uncultured bacterium. Its description in RNAcentral is "partial 16S ribosomal RNA". It matches the Rfam family "Bacterial small subunit ribosomal RNA", at positions 28 to 507 of the family's 1533-position model. The record is from RNAcentral.